This 330-nucleotide ribosomal RNA is filed under the name uncultured Ochrobactrum sp. RNAcentral's name for it is "bacterial SSU rRNA". It matches the Rfam family "Bacterial small subunit ribosomal RNA", at positions 1 to 359 of the family's 1533-position model. The record is from RNAcentral. Lineage: Bacteria; Pseudomonadati; Pseudomonadota; Alphaproteobacteria; Hyphomicrobiales; Brucellaceae.
UUCGCCCUUAGAGUUUGAUCCUGGCUCAGAACGAACGCUGGCGGCAGGCUUAACACAUGCAAGUCGAGCGCCCCGCAAGGGGAGCGGCAGACGGGUGAGUAACGCGUGGGAACGUACCUUUUGCUACGGAAUAACUCAGGGAAACUUGUGCUAAUACCGUAUGUGCCCUUCGGGGGAAAGAUUUAUCGGCAAAGGAUCGGCCCGCGUUGGAUUAGCUAGUUGGUGAGGUAAAGGCUCACCAAGGCGACGAUCCAUAGCUGGUCUGAGAGGAUGAUCAGCCACACUGGGACUGAGACACGGCCCAGACUCCUACGGGAGGCAGCAGAAGGG